Molecule: transfer RNA, 76 nt
Filed under: Spiroplasma ixodetis
Lineage: Bacteria; Bacillati; Mycoplasmatota; Mollicutes; Entomoplasmatales; Spiroplasmataceae
Also listed under: 1 other name
Description: tRNA-Ala
Rfam family: tRNA
About the family: Transfer RNA (tRNA) molecules are approximately 80 nucleotides in length. Their secondary structure includes four short double-helical elements and three loops (D, anti-codon, and T loops).
Source: RNAcentral
GGGCCCUUAGCUCAUUUGGUAGAGUGCCUGCCUUGCACGCAGGAGGUGGUCGGUUCGAUCCCGAUAGGGUCCACCA